GCUAAUUUUGUAUUUUUAGUUACACAGUAACAAAUGUGACUGAGGUCUACCUGCGCUCUCAGCUGAUGCUGGCACCUUUAUUGCCUAGGUGUUUAAUGCUUCUCAGGUCUGCAUCCUAUCUCCCGUCACACACUCUCAUAUGCUAUGUAGGAUGAGGACACAGCUGACACACUUAGUCACUGCACCUUGUAUGAUAUAAUACAACAGCUGAGAGAGUGGGACACAUUCUUCAUUCCCAUUCUGUCAGUGUAACAUAGCAUAUAGCAGCUGAGAACGGGGUACAUCCCUGACUCACAUGAUGUCACAAUGUCACAUAUGAUAUCAUAAGUCAUCCAGUGGGCUAGGCACGGUGGCUGACACCUAUAAUCCCCACACUUUGAGCCUGCCAAAGUGCCUUUUUUUGUGCCUUUCACAUAAAGACUAUGACACAGCUAAGCUAUUCAUGUACUAAUAAAUACCUGCCCUGAGCUGUGUGACCACGGACACCACCCUAUAAUGUGGCCAGUGUGUAGGAACUCUGCAGGCUCAGAUCAUUCCAGACAUACAUGCAGAUGUUGGAACUCCCUUGCACAGUGACUCAUGAUCCCAAGGCUGAGUGCUGAGGGCAGGAUUAACCUCAGCGAUUGUUGCUGGCAUCAGUGCAGCCCUGGGACCAGAGCACACCUGGGUGCCUGGUGCUACGACUCCCAGGACCCCAAGUGUGGUGAGGACAGAGUGUCAUGUGAGGCUGAGUGAGAUCAGUCUGUGUCCUGGGACCACCAGAGCAUGUGCCAGUGGUGCAAGAGUGGCCAAGAGACAGUCUGCACCCUGCACUCUGUGGCCUUUGCAGGUUUCUGUCUGUAGUCGUCUGCCCCAGUAGACUGACUGGGCAUCAGGUGCAAGUGUGUGACUGUCC
RNAcentral lists this long non-coding RNA (895 nucleotides) under Homo sapiens (human). RNAcentral describes it as "HSALNT0405045". The record is from RNAcentral. Lineage: Eukaryota; Metazoa; Chordata; Mammalia; Primates; Hominidae.